GGGUGCUCAGGAGAUACGGGUGGGCUGAGGGAUGGACCGCCCGGCCCCCCCACGUGGGCAGAGGCCUGAAUCAUGAAGAAGCCUAAGGGGAAGUUCGAGGGGUUUGGGAACUUACAAAACCCUUAAGUCACUGUCCCUGGCUGCUAGUUCCUAUCUCCACCCCUCCACCCGCCCCAGGUCUCCGAGCCCCUGGGCCUCCUCCUCGCCUCGGGAAUCCAGAGGGACGGCCCCCCCCCGCCUCCUUGGCAGUUCUACCUUCAGCCUCCUCCCUUUCUAUUUAUUUGCCUGUGUCCACGGCAUGCGGAAGCUCCUGAGCAGAGAUCAAACCCUCGCCCCAGCAGGGACCUGAGCCACAGCAGGACAACACUGGAUCCUUAACCCACAAGGCCACCAGGGAGCUCCUACCUUCCACCUCCCCUGACAAAAGGACACAGAGACUGUAAAUCACAUUUUCCCCUCAGAAUGAUUUCCCGUGCUUUCAGAUUCUUGGAAUCGAAAACAAAGCUGAUGUGUCCUGAGCUUCGGAGUAUGUGGCAGCCACUUUUCUGAGGACUCUUUUCAUCCUUACAACAGCCCCUGAUGGAGGUUCUAUUAUUAGCUCCAUUUUACAGACGAGAAAACAAAGUUCAGAGAAGCAAACUGACUUGCCUGAACAUCCCAGGGUGUAGCAGCAGAAUCCAGGUUGACAGCAAAGUGGGGAAGGUUCAGCCUGAAAGGAGGCCCCAGUCAGGCUUCGUCAUUCACUACCGUUACCGCCUCGGCAUCCACUGGGGCGAACCACCCCUCAGCCUCACUGUCCCACCGAACCCUGUGGAAGCCUCUUCUUCCCAGAUCCCACCCCAGCGGGAACAUUUUGUGACUUAGCUGAUGAAAACACACCAAUGCUUUUCAAAUAUUACUUUAGAUUUUCGAAC
RNAcentral lists this long non-coding RNA (914 nucleotides) under Sus scrofa (pig). Its description in RNAcentral is "lncRNA (ENSSSCG00000041032.2)". The record is from RNAcentral. Lineage: Eukaryota; Metazoa; Chordata; Mammalia; Artiodactyla; Suidae.